RNAcentral lists this ribosomal RNA (425 nucleotides) under uncultured bacterium. Its description in RNAcentral is "partial 16S ribosomal RNA". It matches the Rfam family "Bacterial small subunit ribosomal RNA", at positions 354 to 796 of the family's 1533-position model. The record is from RNAcentral.
GUGGGGAAUAUUGCACAAUGGGGGAAACCCUGAUCUAGCCAUGCCGCGUGAGCGAUGAAGGCCUUAGGGUUGUAAAGCUCUUUCAGCUGGGAAGAUAAUGACGGUACCAGCAGAAGAAGCCCCGGCUAACUCCGUGCCAGCAGCCGCGGUAAUACGGAGGGGGCUAGCGUUGUUCGGAAUUACUGGGCGUAAAGCGCGCGUAGGCGGACCAGAAAGUUGGAGGUGAAAUCCCAGGGCUCAACCUUGGAACUGCCUUCAAAACUCCUGGUCUGGAGUUCGAGAGAGGUGAGUGGAAUUCCGAGUGUAGAGGUGAAAUUCGUAGAUAUUCGGAGGAACACCAGUGGCGAAGGCGGCUCUCUGGUCUGUAACUGACGCUGAGGUUCGAAAGCGUGGGUAGCAAACAGGAUUAGAAACCCGUGUAGUCC